This 1445-nucleotide ribosomal RNA is filed under the name Staphylococcus aureus. RNAcentral's name for it is "bacterial LSU rRNA". It matches the Rfam family "Bacterial large subunit ribosomal RNA", at positions 1482 to 2925 of the family's 2925-position model. Lineage: Bacteria; Bacillati; Bacillota; Bacilli; Caryophanales; Staphylococcaceae. The record is from RNAcentral.
AUAGGCGAAGCGUGCGAUUGGAUUGCACGUCUAAGCAGUAAGGCUGAGUAUUAGGCAAAUCCGGUACUCGUUAAGGCUGAGCUGUGAUGGGGAGAAGACAUUGUGUCUUCGAGUCGUUGAUUUCACACUGCCGAGAAAAGCCUCUAGAUAGAAAAUAGGUGCCCGUACCGCAAACCGACACAGGUAGUCAAGAUGAGAAUUCUAAGGUGAGCGAGCGAACUCUCGUUAAGGAACUCGGCAAAAUGACCCCGUAACUUCGGGAGAAGGGGUGCUCUUUAGGGUUAACGCCCAGAAGAGCCGCAGUGAAUAGGCCCAAGCGACUGUUUAUCAAAAACACAGGUCUCUGCUAAACCGUAAGGUGAUGUAUAGGGGCUGACGCCUGCCCGGUGCUGGAAGGUUAAGAGGAGUGGUUAGCUUCUGCGAAGCUACGAAUCGAAGCCCCAGUAAACGGCGGCCGUAACUAUAACGGUCCUAAGGUAGCGAAAUUCCUUGUCGGGUAAGUUCCGACCCGCACGAAAGGCGUAACGAUUUGGGCACUGUCUCAACGAGAGACUCGGUGAAAUCAUAGUACCUGUGAAGAUGCAGGUUACCCGCGACAGGACGGAAAGACCCCGUGGAGCUUUACUGUAGCCUGAUAUUGAAAUUCGGCACAGCUUGUACAGGAUAGGUAGGAGCCUUUGAAACGUGAGCGCUAGCUUACGUGGAGGCGCUGGUGGGAUACUACCCUAGCUGUGUUGGCUUUCUAACCCGCACCACUUAUCGUGGUGGGAGACAGUGUCAGGCGGGCAGUUUGACUGGGGCGGUCGCCUCCUAAAAGGUAACGGAGGCGCUCAAAGGUUCCCUCAGAAUGGUUGGAAAUCAUUCAUAGAGUGUAAAGGCAUAAGGGAGCUUGACUGCGAGACCUACAAGUCGAGCAGGGUCGAAAGACGGACUUAGUGAUCCGGUGGUUCCGCAUGGAAGGGCCAUCGCUCAACGGAUAAAAGCUACCCCGGGGAUAACAGGCUUAUCUCCCCCAAGAGUUCACAUCGACGGGGAGGUUUGGCACCUCGAUGUCGGCUCAUCGCAUCCUGGGGCUGUAGUCGGUCCCAAGGGUUGGGCUGUUCGCCCAUUAAAGCGGUACGCGAGCUGGGUUCAGAACGUCGUGAGACAGUUCGGUCCCUAUCCGUCGUGGGCGUAGGAAAUUUGAGAGGAGCUGUCCUUAGUACGAGAGGACCGGGAUGGACAUACCUCUGGUGUACCAGUUGUCGUGCCAACGGCAUAGCUGGGUAGCUAUGUGUGGACGGGAUAAGUGCUGAAAGCAUCUAAGCAUGAAGCCCCCCUCAAGAUGAGAUUUCCCAACUUCGGUUAUAAGAUCCCUCAAAGAUGAUGAGGUUAAUAGGUUCGAGGUGGAAGCAUGGUGACAUGUGGAGCUGACGAAUACUAAUCGAUCGAAGACUUAAUCAAAA